Molecule: long non-coding RNA, 1081 nt
Filed under: Rattus norvegicus (Norway rat)
Lineage: Eukaryota; Metazoa; Chordata; Mammalia; Rodentia; Muridae
Description: long non-coding RNA NONRATT008294
Source: RNAcentral
ACUGUGUAGCUCCCCUUCGGAGGAAGAAGUUACUUUAGACAAAAGGCAAAAAAAUUAAAUGUAUUUUUCAUUUGUAAUUAUAUGGAAGGGCCCUACCAAGAUGCUAGAAUUGGAGGGGGUUCCUGACAAGAAAGUUACAUUCUUGUCCUGAAGAAUUGCUUUCUUAUUUAAAAACAGAGUCAGUUAGUGGGUAGUUCUGGGCAAUAGAAAUAAAUAUAAAACAAUAAUGACAAUCAUUCUCUACAUCUCAUUAUCAGCUGAGGUACUGUAUAUUACUGAAUUUACUGAAGAUAGUUAUGUCUUUCAGACAUUGUUGUUAUAAACUAUGUUUAAGCCUACUACAAGUGUUUCUUUUUUGCAUUAUGUCAGAAUUGAUGUACCUUUUUUUUAAUGAUUACCUCCCUGUACUACUGUGCGAACAAUCAAACAAAAUGAUGAGAUUAAUGGUCAUGGAUAAAUUUCAAGAAAACUAGUGUAUUUGAUUGAAAAGUUUAAAGUUAGAACUUAGGCCAUUGGAAUUUACUCAUAUAGCAAACUGCGUAGAGCCAAUAUUGACUCACCUACACACGUUAUACAGAUUGACAUUUUAGACAUUUUGAAGGCCCCGUAGGUAUUUUAUUAGUUAGAACUUAAUUUUUUGAAAAACAUAUCCAAAGCACAAUAGGCAUUAGAAUUUGUGCAUCGAGAACUGAUUACAAAUAAUAUUGAUAUGUAUGUAAAUAACUGAGAAGUAUGUCUUAUGAAGAAAUAUAUUUUAUUACAAAAAAUUAUAAAACAUUUUCAAGAUUAUAUGCUUUAAAAGUUUAAGAUCAGAAAAUAAUCAACUUUAGAAAAACACGUAUAAAAAUUGUUAACAUCAUUGAUUAAAAAAAAAAAAAAAAAGCCAACAUGAUUGUUGUGAACAUCAACCUGCUGACUGAACCUGGGAAUUCAGGUUAAGUAUGUGACUGCUGCCGUGCCUCAGAGAAAUUUGUAUUUAAAUUAACUUAUGUAAAAAAAAAUCUUAGAACAAAUGUUUGUUUAUUUUUAUACUUAUUUAAGAAAUUGAAAACUUCUGAAAAUAAAGUUUGAUUGUGUCUUU